ACGUAGGUGGCAAGCGUUGUCCGGAAUUACUGGGCGUAAAGCGUGCGCAGGCGGUUUUGUAAGCCAGAUGUGAAAUCCCCGGGCUUAACCUGGGAAUGGCAUUUGGGACUGCAAGGCUUGAGUUUGGCAGAGGAGACUGGAAUUCCUGGUGUAGCAGUGAAAUGCGUAGAUAUCAGGAGGAAUACCGAUGGCGAAGGCAGGUCUCUGGGCUGAAACUGACGCUCAUGCACGAAAGCGUGGGGAGCAAACAGGA
RNAcentral lists this ribosomal RNA (253 nucleotides) under uncultured prokaryote. RNAcentral's name for it is "partial 16S ribosomal RNA". It matches the Rfam family "Bacterial small subunit ribosomal RNA", at positions 525 to 777 of the family's 1533-position model. The record is from RNAcentral.